RNAcentral lists this ribosomal RNA (119 nucleotides) under Pteropus alecto (black flying fox). The record is from RNAcentral. Lineage: Eukaryota; Metazoa; Chordata; Mammalia; Chiroptera; Pteropodidae.
GUCUGCGGCCAUGCCACCCUGAACGUGCCCGAUCUUGUCUGAUCUCGGAAGCUAAGCAGGGUCAGGCCUGGUUAGUACUUGGAUGGGAGACCACCUAGGAAGACCAGAUGCUGUAGGUG